Long non-coding RNA from Clupea harengus (Atlantic herring), 552 nucleotides. Lineage: Eukaryota; Metazoa; Chordata; Actinopteri; Clupeiformes; Clupeidae. The record is from Ensembl.
AAUGUCACUACGGUUGCGUGCCCUUAUAAGGAGCUGGCGGGGCGUGUAUGUAUGCAAAUUCAGGUGCACGAGAACACGCGUUCAAUGUAAGAAACCUCAUUCGGAGGAGCACAGCUGAGAACACUUUGGCUGCAUAAGAACACAUUUUCAGGCGUUCAUGAAUCUGGCGGAGAUCUUUUUCUUACGUUGGUUUUACAAAGUCCCUAAGAAACAUUUCAGAAGAAACUUCAGAAAAUGUUCGAGAAUGAGGCCCAUUGUCUUCAUCAGCACUAAGUUAUAAAUAUUAUGCAUAGUGAGGUCUUUCAUCACAUUUCAUGAAUUAGCUUCACACUCUGAUAUUGUUUAUGUCCUGCUUUAGAGUUGUUCUACAGCUUAUGAUAACUGGACCAUCUGUAAUAGAGACUUCUGAUUUAUCUUUCUGUGUGUGUGUGUGUGUGUGUGUGUGUGUGUGUGUGUGUGUGUUUGCAGUGGGAGGAGAGAGUCCUGCAGAUGGUGAGUAUGAGAAAUGCCAACCUAAUACACUCUGGAAACUAAACCCGCUGUCCAGCAUGU